RNAcentral lists this ribosomal RNA (442 nucleotides) under uncultured bacterium. RNAcentral describes it as "partial 16S ribosomal RNA". It matches the Rfam family "Bacterial small subunit ribosomal RNA", at positions 338 to 795 of the family's 1533-position model. The record is from RNAcentral.
CCUACGGGGGGCAGCAGUGGGGAAUAUUGGGCAAUGGGCGCAAGCCUGACCCAGCAACGCCGCGUGAAGGAAGAAGGCUUUCGGGUUGUAAACUUCUUUUGUCAGGGAAGAGUAGAAGACGGUACCUGACGAAUAAGCCACGGCUAACUACGUGCCAGCAGCCGCGGUAAUACGUAGGUGGCAAGCGUUGUCCGGAUUUACUGGGUGUAAAGGGCGUGUAGCCGGGUUGACAAGUCAGAUGUGAAAUCCUGCGGCUUAACCGCAGAACUGCAUUUGAAACUGUUGAUCUUGAGUACUGGAGAGGCAGAUGGAAGGCCUAGUGGAGCGGUGAAAUGCGUAGAUAUGAGGAGGAACACCAGUGGCGAAGGCGGUCGGAUGGACAGCAACUGACGGUGAGGCGCGAAAGCGUGGGGAGCAAACAGGAUGAGAUACCCUAGUAGUC